GACGAACGCUGGCGGCGUGCUUAACACAUGCAAGUCGAACGAUGAAGCCCAGCUUGCUGGGUGGAUUAGUGGCGAACGGGUGAGUAACACGUGGGCAACCUGCCCCAAACUCUGGGAUAACGCCUCGAAAGAGGUGCUAAUACCAGAUACGAACUAGACAGACAUCUGUACUAGUUGGAAAGUUUUUCGGUUUGGGAUGGGCCCGCGGCCUAUCAGCUUGUUGGUGAGGUAACGGCUCACCAAGGCUACGACGGGUAACCGGCCUGAGAGGGCGACCGGUCACACUGGGACUGAGACACGGCCCAGACUCCUACGGGAGGCAGCAGUGGGGAAUAUUGCGCAAUGGGCGAAAGCCUGACGCAGCGACGCCGCGUGAGGGAUGAAGGUCUUCGGAUCGUAAACCUCUUUCAGUAGGGACGAAGCGAAAGUGACGGUACCUAAAGAAGAAGCACCGGCUAACUACGUGCCAGCAGCCGCGGUAA
This 482-nucleotide ribosomal RNA is filed under the name uncultured bacterium. RNAcentral describes it as "partial 16S ribosomal RNA". It matches the Rfam family "Bacterial small subunit ribosomal RNA", at positions 28 to 523 of the family's 1533-position model. The record is from RNAcentral.